CUCCCCGCCGCCCCCGGUAUACAAAUAUAAGUCACCUCCUCCCCCCGUCUACCACUACAGCUCGCCACCACCGCCGGUUUACAAGUACAAGUCGCCACCACCACCUGUGUACCAUGCCCCGGCUCCUGUUUACAAGUACGAGUCGCCCCCCCCACCGGUUUACAAGUACAGCUCCCCUCCACCGCCGGUCUACAAAUAUAAGUCGCCACCACCUCCUGUGUACCACGCCCCGGCUCCUGUUUACAAGUACAAGUCACCUCCUCCCCCCGUCUACCACUACAGCUCGCCACCACCGCCGGUUUACAAGUACAAGUCACCACCACCACCUGUGUACCACGCCCCGGCACCAGUUUACAAGUACAACUCGCCACCACCCCCAGUUUACAAGUACAGCUCGCCACCACCACCUGUUUACAAAUACAAGUCGCCACCACCACCUGUGUACCACACCCCGG
This 455-nucleotide long non-coding RNA is filed under the name Selaginella moellendorffii. Its description in RNAcentral is "long non-coding RNA (SMOE_LNC000956)". The record is from RNAcentral. Lineage: Eukaryota; Viridiplantae; Streptophyta; Lycopodiopsida; Selaginellales; Selaginellaceae.